Molecule: ribosomal RNA, 461 nt
Filed under: uncultured bacterium
Lineage: Bacteria
Description: bacterial SSU rRNA
Rfam family: Bacterial small subunit ribosomal RNA
Source: RNAcentral
UCGGAGGCAGCAGUAAGGAAUCUUCCGCAAUGGGCGAAAGCCUGACGGAGCAACGCCGCGUGAAUGAAGAAGGCUUUCGGGUCGUAAAGUUCUGUCUUUAGGGAAGAAGUCUCUCUGUGUAAAUAAUGCAGAGAGGUGACGGUACCUGAGGAGGAAGCUCCGGCUAACUACGUGCCAGCAGCCGCGGUAAUACGUAGGGAGCGAGCGUUGUCCGGAAUUACUGGGCGUAAAGGGCGCGUAGGCGGAAUCUUAAGUCAGGUGUGAAAACUCUGGGCUCAACUCGGAGACUGCAUUUGAAACUGGGGUUCUUGAGGGCAGGAGAGGAAAGUGGAAUUCCUAGUGUAGCGGUGAAAUGCGUAGAUAUUAGGAGGAACACCAGUGGCGAAGGCGACUUUCUGGACUGCAUCUGACGCUGAGGCGCGAAAGCGUGGGGAGCAAACGGGAUUAGAUACCCCGGUAGA